This 758-nucleotide ribosomal RNA is filed under the name uncultured Acidimicrobiaceae bacterium. Its description in RNAcentral is "bacterial SSU rRNA". It matches the Rfam family "Bacterial small subunit ribosomal RNA", at positions 97 to 870 of the family's 1533-position model. The record is from RNAcentral. Lineage: Bacteria; Bacillati; Actinomycetota; Acidimicrobiia; Acidimicrobiales; Acidimicrobiaceae.
GGCGAACGGGUGCGUAACACGUGAGAAACCUGCCCCGGUCUCUGGAAUAACAGUUGGAAACGACUGCUAAUACCGGAUGCCGUCGGACCAUCGCAUGGUGGACCGACGAAAGGGUUACCGGACCGGGAGGGUCUCGCGGCCUAUCAGCUUGUUGGUGAGGUAACGGCUCACCAAGGCAUCGACGGGUAGCUGGUCUGAGAGGAUGAUCAGCCACACUGGGACUGAGACACGGCCCAGACUCCUACGGGAGGCAGCAGUAGGGAAUAUUGCACAAUGGGCGAAAGCCUGAUGCAGCAACGCCGCGUGCGGGAAGAAGGCCCUAGGGUUGUAAACCGCUUUCAGCAGGGAAGAAAAUGACGGUACCUGCAGAAGAAGGUGCGGCCAACUACGUGCCAGCAGCCGCGGUGACACGUAGGCACCAAGCGUUGUCCGGAUUUAUUGGGCGUAAAGAGCUCGUAGGCGGUUCAGUUAGUCGGGUGUGAAAACUCUGGGCUCAACCCAGAGACGCCACUCGAUACUGCUGUGACUAGAGUGCGGUAGGGGAGCGGGGAAUUCCUAGUGUAGCGGUGAAAUGCGCAGAUAUUAGGAGGAACACCAGUGGCGAAGGCGCCGCUCUGGGCCGUAACUGACGCUGAGGAGCGAAAGCGUGGGUAGCAAACAGGAUUAGAUACCCUGGUAGUCCACGCCGUAAACGUUGGGCACUAGGUGUGGGUCUCAACCAACGAGAUCCGCGCCGUCGCUAACGCAUUAAGUGCCCC